AGGGCCCCACCAGGAGUGGAGCCUGCGGCUUAAUUUGACUCAACACGGGGAAACUUACCCGGCCCGGACACCGGAAGGAUUGACAGAUUGAUAGCUUUUUCCUGAUUCCGGGGAUGGUGGUGGAUGGGCGUUCUUAGUUCGUGGAGCGAUUUGGCUGGUUUAUUCCCAUAACGAACGAGACUCUAGGCUACUAAAAAUUCGCACAUUGUGCCUGGGGGGGUGGUUUUUUUUAGGGAGUUUCCCGGGUAAACCGCCCGAAAAUGAAAAAUACCACUACUAGGAUGCCCUUGGAAUCCGGGGCCGCACCCGCGCUACCCUGUCACUAUUCGCGGGCUUUGGCCUUCCCCCAAAGCGACGGGACCCCCCAAGAAAAUAAUCCCGAGUGUGGUUGGGAAAAGUGCUCAUAUUCUAUGAAUCAGGAAAUUCCAAUGAAGGUUAGGGUUAUGAUCUCGUUGAGUGCUCGUCUCGGCCCUGUGCACACAGCCCGCGGCUCGGCGCUACUGAACCAUUUCUAGAAAA
RNAcentral lists this ribosomal RNA (519 nucleotides) under uncultured eukaryote. RNAcentral's name for it is "partial 18S ribosomal RNA". It matches the Rfam family "Eukaryotic small subunit ribosomal RNA", at positions 1161 to 1707 of the family's 1831-position model. The record is from RNAcentral.